Molecule: ribosomal RNA, 513 nt
Filed under: uncultured bacterium
Lineage: Bacteria
Description: partial 16S ribosomal RNA
Rfam family: Bacterial small subunit ribosomal RNA
Source: RNAcentral
GACGAACGCUGGCGGCAUGCCUAAUACAUGCAAGUCGAGCGAACAGAUGAAGUGCUUGCACUUCUGACGUUAGCGGCGAACGGGUGAGUAACACGUAAGGAAUCUACCUAUAAGCGGGGGAUAACCUUCGGAAACGGGUGCUAAUACCGCAUAAUAUCUUCUUCCGCAUGGAAGAAGAUUGAAAGACGGCUCUGCUGUCACUUAUAGAUGACCUUGCGGUGCAUUAGUUAGUUGGUGGGGUAAUGGCCUACCAAGACGAUGAUGCAUAGCCGACCUGAGAGGGUGAUCGGCCACAGUGGGACUGAGACACGGCCCAAACUCCUACGGGAGGCAGCAGUAGGGAAUCUUCCGCAAUGGGCGAAAGCCUGACGGAGCAAUGCCGCGUGAGUGAAGAAGGCCUUCGGGUCGUAAAACUCUGUUAUAAGAGAAGAACAAAUUGUAGAGUAACUGCUACAGUCUUGACGGUAUCUUAUCAGAAAGCCACGGCUAACUACGUGCCAGCAGCCGCAGUAA